GAUGAACGCUGGCGGUAUGCUUAACACAUGCAAGUCGAACGCAGACUUUCGGGUCUGAGUGGCGGACGGGUGAGUAACGCGUGAGAAUCUGGCUUCAGGUUGGGGACAACCACGGGAAACGGUGGCUAAUACCCAAUGUGCCGUUCAGGUGGAAGAUUAAUUGCCUGAAGAUGGGCUCGCGUCUGAUUAGCUAGUUGGUGGGGUAAGAGCUCACCAAGGCGACGAUCAGUAGCUGGUCUGAGAGGACGAUCAGCCACACUGGGACUGAGACGCGGCCCAGACUCCUGCGGGGGGCAGGUGGGGGGAAUUUUCCGCAAUGGGCGAGAGCCUGACGGAGCAAUACCGCGUGAGGGAGGAAGGCUCUUGGGGUGUAAACCUCUUGUCUCAGGGAAGAAGGCAAUGACGGUAACUGAGGAAUCAGCAUCGGCUAACUCCGUG
This 438-nucleotide ribosomal RNA is filed under the name uncultured bacterium. RNAcentral's name for it is "partial 16S ribosomal RNA". It matches the Rfam family "Bacterial small subunit ribosomal RNA", at positions 28 to 507 of the family's 1533-position model. The record is from RNAcentral.